Molecule: RNA transcript, 1307 nt
Organism: Pelobates fuscus (common spadefoot toad)
Lineage: Eukaryota; Metazoa; Chordata; Amphibia; Anura; Pelobatidae
Gene: BTBD16
Gene name: BTB domain containing 16
Exons: 11
Source: RefSeq, a predicted model, not a curated record
GCAAAGACAUGCAAUCUUCUGGACUGAUUUCCGGGACAGAUACCUCCCAUACCUCACAUUCACAAAGCCACAGCAGCACUACAGAGAGGAAAACAGGCAAUCUAAACAUCAGUCUUGACGUGCAAGAUAAACUAGUUACACAAACAUCCUUGGCUAUAGCUCUACAGAACCUGUAUAGGAACGAUAUUCAUGUGGAUGGAGAGGAGGCCGCAGGAGUCCUCGCUGCUGCAUUUUUGUUGCAGUUUCCAGCUCUUUUCCAGGAGUGUGUGCUAACAAUGAGGAGUGGGAUUUCUGAAACAAAUGUCUGCUUAUAUUACAGCGCCGCCUGCAAGUAUAAACAGUACGCACUCAUUCAGGCCUGCGAAGAAUGGCUUCUACUAAAUCUAGUGGCGAAGCUUGGUUCAAACAUCAUGCUGCGCGAUCUUCCAUAUGAGCUGUUGCUGAGACUGCUGAAAUCCCACAGGCUCUUUACCUACAGUGAGUACAGACUACUUAGAACUGUUCUGUAUUGGGUGUACUUACAGCACAACCGUACUGUACAAAUUGUGCCAAAUUCCCACCAUGUCCUAAAUUAUUUCAAGAGCUUUCCCAAACAUUGUGCCUUCCUCCAGCAAGCACACGGUGAGCAAUACAUAGCUUUGUUCCAGUCUCUACGUCUCCACGGCAUUACAGAGAGUAAACAGAUAGAAGUGAUCACACAGAUAAAUAUCUUACCCCCGGACUGGAUGAUCCAGCUCCUCUUCAACCACUGUGAAGCUCUGAAGAAUGGAGGAGAACUAUAUAAUCUCAUGGAUUUUAACACACACGCUGUCUGAUUUGGGUUAAUUGUGAACAAGGAACCAAAAUAUAUCUUUCAAAUUGUGUCACGUUAUGGAUUCUUUUUUGAACUAAAAGCGUUACAACAUAAACCAGGUUUAUUCAGCUUCUACAUUCAGAGGUUGAAACACACAGACCCCAUGUUGUCUCAUCAAACCUUGGAGAACGAAUGUUUCAGUCUGCGGCAGGAACGUGAAAUUCAAUAUGAGAUUAGAGUGCAGAGGUUGGCAGACAAAAAAUGUCAAGAAUUCACCACUGGUACUUUAACCCAAAAAUUUGGAGUAACACCCAAAACCCGAAAAAGCCAGGUUUUGAGAUUGUUUUUGCCAUCAGUUCCGUUAUACGUCACCUAUUCCUUCCUAUUUCUACCAACUUUAAGUUAGGCCACAGGAGGCCAUAACGUAUUUCAACAGUUAGAACUUACUUCAUAUCUAGUUGGGAGUCUGAACAUAUGAAACGUUGAAUAAUACCAUAAGCUAAAACCUUGUAAA